AAUGGUUUUGUUGACUUUACUUCCUCGUCAACUUUGAUCAAGGAAUUUGUUGCCAAGUUGGUGCAACUCAAAGGUGAGUCACCAUCCCCCAAGGAUCAAAAAUUACUGGCGUUGGCAAUUAUUAAAAUUUUGCCCUGUUGGAGAUUUCCAUCAAGUGUUGAAGGAAUUGAUUUGUUAUUUGACGACGUAAAUCGCACCGGGCUUAUUCAGUCAAG
Folsomia candida is the source of this 215-nucleotide long non-coding RNA. RefSeq lists it as uncharacterized. The transcript has 3 exons. The record is from RefSeq and is a predicted model, not a curated record. Lineage: Eukaryota; Metazoa; Arthropoda; Collembola; Entomobryomorpha; Isotomidae.